Molecule: ribosomal RNA, 491 nt
Filed under: uncultured bacterium
Lineage: Bacteria
Description: partial 16S ribosomal RNA
Rfam family: Bacterial small subunit ribosomal RNA
Source: RNAcentral
AGUGAACGCUGGCGGUAGGCCUAACACAUGCCAGCCGAACGGCAGCACAGUAAGAGCUUGCUCUUACGGGUGGCGAGUGGCGGACGGGUGAGGAAUACAUCGGAAUCUACUUUUUCGUGGGGGAUAACGUAGGGAAACUUACGCUAAUACCGCAUACGACCUACGGGUGAAAGCAGGGGAUCUUCGGACCUUGCGCGAUUGAAUGAGCCGAUGUCGGAUUAGCUAGUUGGCGGGGUAAAGGCCCACCAAGGCGACGAUCCGUAGCUGGUCUGAGAGGAUGAUCAGCCACACUGGAACUGAGACACGGUCCAGACUCCUACGGGAGGCAGCAGUGGGGAAUAUUGGACAAUGGGCGCAAGCCUGAUCCAGCCAGACCGCGUGGGUGAAGAAGGCCUUCGGGUUGUAAAGCCCUUUUGUUGGGAAAGAAAAGCAGCAGGUUAAUACCCCGCUGUUCUGACGGUACCCAAAGAAUAAGCACCGGCGAACUGCGU